CCUACGGGAGGCUGCAGUGGGGGAUAUUGCACAAUGGGGGGAACCCUGAUGCAGCGACGCCGCGUGGGUGAAGGAGUGCUUCGGCAUGUAAAGCCCUAUCGGCAGGGAAGAAGCAAGAAGGUACCUGACUAAGAAGCCCCGGCUAACUACGUGCCAGAAGCCGCGGUAAAACGGAGGGGGCGAGCGUGAUCCGGAUCCACUGGGUGUAAAGGGAGCGUAGACGGCCAUGGGAGACAGGGGUGAAAGCCCGGGGCCCAACCCCGGGACUGCCCUUGGAACUGCAUGGCUGGAGGGCGGGAGGGGCAGGCGGAAUUCCUGGUGUAGCGGUGAAAUGCGUAGAUAUCAGGAGGAACACCGGCGGCGAAGGCGGCCUGCUGGACCACGACUGACGUUGAGGCUCGAAAGCGUGGGGAGCGAACAGGAUUAGAUACCCCUGUAGUC
This 441-nucleotide ribosomal RNA is filed under the name uncultured bacterium. RNAcentral's name for it is "partial 16S ribosomal RNA". It matches the Rfam family "Bacterial small subunit ribosomal RNA", at positions 338 to 795 of the family's 1533-position model. The record is from RNAcentral.